This 460-nucleotide ribosomal RNA is filed under the name uncultured bacterium. Its description in RNAcentral is "partial 16S ribosomal RNA". It matches the Rfam family "Bacterial small subunit ribosomal RNA", at positions 338 to 795 of the family's 1533-position model. The record is from RNAcentral.
CCUACGGGAGGCAGCAGUGAGGAAUAUUGGUCAAUGGACGAGAGUCUGAACCAGCCAAGUAGCGUGAAGGAUGACUGCCCUAUGGGUUGUAAACUUCUUUUAUAUGGGAAUAAAACAGGGUAUGCAUACCCUCUUGUAUGUACCAUAUGAAUAAGGAUCGGCUAACUCCGUGCCAGCAGCCGCGGUAAUACGGAGGAUCCGAGCGUUAUCCGGAUUUAUUGGGUUUAAAGGGAGCGUAGGUGGAUUGUUAAGUCAGUUGUGAAAGUUUGCGGCUCAACCGUAGAAUUGCAGUUGAAACUGGCAGGCUUGAGUACAGGAGAGGUGGGCGGAAUUCGUGGUGUAGCGGUGAAAUGCUUAGAUAUCACGAAGAACUCCGAUUGCGAAGGCAGCUCACUGGACUGCAACUGACACUGAUGCUCGAAAGUGUGGGUAUCAAACAGGAUUAGAUACCCCUGUAGUC